GCUGGGCACAGUGAUGCAUGCCUGUAAUCCCAGCAGCUGGGAGGUUGAGGCAGGAAGAUCAUGAGUUCAAAGCCACCCUCAGCAAAAGUGAGGCACUGAGCAACUCAGAUCCUGUCUCCA
Molecule: small RNA, 120 nt
Filed under: Marmota monax (woodchuck)
Lineage: Eukaryota; Metazoa; Chordata; Mammalia; Rodentia; Sciuridae
Source: RNAcentral